UACGUAGGGUGCGAGCGUUAAUCGGAAUUACUGGGCGUAAAGCGUGCGCAGGCGGUUUUGUAAGUCAGAUGUGAAAUCCCCGGGCUUAACCUGGGAACUGCGUUUGAAACUACAAGGCUAGAGUGUAGCAGAGGGGGGUGGAAUUCCACGUGUAGCAGUGAAAUGCGUAGAUAUUGGGAAGAACACCGGAGGCGAAGGCGGGUUGCUGGGCCGACACUGACGCUGAGGCGCGAAAGCCAGGGGAGCAAACGGG
This 253-nucleotide ribosomal RNA is filed under the name uncultured bacterium. RNAcentral's name for it is "partial 16S ribosomal RNA". It matches the Rfam family "Bacterial small subunit ribosomal RNA", at positions 524 to 776 of the family's 1533-position model. The record is from RNAcentral.